Molecule: ribosomal RNA, 484 nt
Filed under: uncultured bacterium
Lineage: Bacteria
Description: partial 16S ribosomal RNA
Rfam family: Bacterial small subunit ribosomal RNA
Source: RNAcentral
AGUGAACGCUGGCGGCAGGCCUAACACAUGCAAGUCGAGCGGCUGAAGAGUGCUUGCUUGCGGAUUCGGCGGGCGACGGGCGGGUGAGUGAUGGGUAUCUGGGUUGCAGUUGGGUCUAGGGUCAGAACGCGGGCGCUAUUACGGUAAUACUGCAGAGGGCGAAAGAGGGGGAUCAUGGGAUCUUCCGCCAUUAGGCGAUCCUAAGUCGGAUUAGCUAGUUGGUGGGGUAAAGGGCUACCAAGGCGACGAUCCGUAACUGGUCUGAUAGGAUGAUCAGCCACACUGGAACUGAGACACGGUCCAGACUCCUACGGGAGGCAGCAGUGGGGAAUAUUGGACAAUGGGCGAAAGCCUGAUCCAGCCAUGCCGCGUGGGUGAAGAAGGUCUUCGGGUUGUAAAGCCCUUUUGUUGGGAAGGAAGAGCAGUAGGUUAAUACCCUGCUGUUUUGACGGUACCAACAGAAUAAGCACCGGCUAACUUCGUG